This 727-nucleotide ribosomal RNA is filed under the name Streptomyces sp. RNAcentral describes it as "bacterial SSU rRNA". It matches the Rfam family "Bacterial small subunit ribosomal RNA", at positions 137 to 876 of the family's 1533-position model. Lineage: Bacteria; Bacillati; Actinomycetota; Actinomycetes; Kitasatosporales; Streptomycetaceae. The record is from RNAcentral.
UCUGGGACAAGCCCUGGAAACGGGGUCUAAUACCGGAUAACACUCUGUCCCGCAUGGGACGGGGUUAAAAGCUCCGGCGGUGAAGGAUGAGCCCGCGGCCUAUCAGCUUGUUGGUGGGGUGAUGGCCUACCAAGGCGACGACGGGUAGCCGGCCUGAGAGGGCGACCGGCCACACUGGGACUGAGACACGGCCCAGACUCCUACGGGAGGCAGCAGUGGGGAAUAUUGCACAAUGGGCGAAAGCCUGAUGCAGCGACGCCGCGUGAGGGAUGACGGCCUUCGGGUUGUAAACCUCUUUCAGCAGGGAAGAAGCGAGAGUGACGGUACCUGCAGAAGAAGCGCCGGCUAACUACGUGCCAGCAGCCGCGGUAAUACGUAGGGCGCAAGCGUUGUCCGGAAUUAUUGGGCGUAAAGAGCUCGUAGGCGGCUUGUUGCGUCGGUUGUGAAAGCCCGGGGCUUAACCCCGGGUCUGCAGUCGAUACGGGCAGGCUAGAGUGUGGUAGGGGAGAUCGGAAUUCCUGGUGUAGCGGUGAAAUGCGCAGAUAUCAGGAGGAACACCGGUGGCGAAGGCGGAUCUCUGGGCCAUUACUGACGCUGAGGAGCGAAAGCGUGGGGAGCGAACAGGAUUAGAUACCCUGGUAGUCCACGCCGUAAACGUUGGGAACUAGGUGUUGGCGACAUUCCACGUCGUCGGUGCCGCAGCUAACGCAUUAAGUUCCCCGCCUGG